AAUAGAUACCCAGGUAGUCCACGCCGUAAACGAUGAGUGCUAAGUGUUAAAGGGUUUCCGCCCUUUAGUGCUGAAGUUAACGCAUUAAGCACUCCGCCUGGGGAGUACGGCCGCAAGGCUGAAACUCAAAGGAAUUGACGGGGGCCCGCACAAGCGGUGGAGCAUGUGGUUUAAUUCGAAGCAACGCGAAGAACCUUACCAGGUCUUGACAUCCUCUGACAACCCUAGAGAUAGGGCUUCUCCUUCGGGAGCAGAGUGACAGGUGGUGCAUGGUUGUCGUCAGCUCGUGUCGUGAGAUGUUGGGUUAAGUCCCGCAACGAGCGCAACCCUUGAUCUUAGUUGCCAUCAUUAAGUUGGGCACUCUAAGGUGACUGCCGGUGACAAACCGGAGGAAGGUGGGGAUGACGUCAAAUCAUCAUGCCCCUUAUGACCUGGGCUACACACGUGCUACAAUGGACGGUACAAAGAGCUGCAAGACCGCGAGGUGGAGCUAAUCUCAUAAAACCGUUCUCAGUUCGGAUUGUAGG
RNAcentral lists this ribosomal RNA (527 nucleotides) under uncultured bacterium. RNAcentral's name for it is "bacterial SSU rRNA". It matches the Rfam family "Bacterial small subunit ribosomal RNA", at positions 777 to 1304 of the family's 1533-position model. The record is from RNAcentral.